RNAcentral lists this unclassified non-coding RNA (214 nucleotides) under air metagenome. Its description in RNAcentral is "partial contains small subunit ribosomal RNA, internal transcribed spacer 1, and 5.8S ribosomal RNA". The stretch from base 1 to 46 matches the Rfam family "Eukaryotic small subunit ribosomal RNA", at positions 1786 to 1831 of the family's 1831-position model. The record is from RNAcentral.
AAGUCGUAACAAGGUUUCCGUAGGUGAACCUGCGGAAGGAUCAUUACUGAGGGGCUUCGGCCCCGUCAAGAUACCACCCCUUGCAUUUUGAGUACCUCUGUUUCCUCGGCGGGCCCGCCCGCCAAUGGGGACCACAACAAACCCUUCUGUAGUUGCAGUAAACGUCAAAAACAAAAUAAAAUCAAAACUUUCAACAACGGAUCUCUUGGUUCUG